Molecule: transfer RNA, 67 nt
Filed under: Lasioglossum leucopus
Lineage: Eukaryota; Metazoa; Arthropoda; Insecta; Hymenoptera; Halictidae
Description: tRNA-Tyr
Source: RNAcentral
AAUAUUAUGCCUGAUUUAAAAGGAAUAAAUUGUAAAUUUAUUAAUGGAAUUAGAUUUUCUAAUAUUA